RNAcentral lists this ribosomal RNA (341 nucleotides) under uncultured soil bacterium. Its description in RNAcentral is "bacterial SSU rRNA". It matches the Rfam family "Bacterial small subunit ribosomal RNA", at positions 26 to 364 of the family's 1533-position model. The record is from RNAcentral.
AGAUUGAACGCUGGCGGCAGGCCUAACACAUGCAAGUCGAGCGGCAGCACGGGUACUUGUACCUGGUGGCGAGCGGCGGACGGGUGAGUAAUGCCUAGGAAUCUGCCUGGUAGUGGGGGAUAACGCUCGGAAACGGACGCUAAUACCGCAUACGUCCUACGGGAGAAAGCAGGGGACCUUCGGGCCUUGCGCUAUCAGAUGAGCCUAGGUCGGAUUAGCUAGUUGGUGGGGUAAUGGCUCACCAAGGCGACGAUCCGUAACUGGUCUGAGAGGAUGAUCAGUCACACUGGAACUGAGACACGGUCCAGACUCCGUACGGGAGGCAGCAGGUAGGGGAAUAG